GUCAGGUGUGGUGGCGCACACCUAUAAUCUCAGUUACCCAGGAGGCUGAGGUGGGAGGAUCACUUGAGCCCAGAAGUUCAAGGCUGCAGUGUGCUAUGAUCACGCCCAUGAAUAGCCACUACCUGCUAGCCUGGGCAACACAGUGAGGUCUCAUCUCUA
Molecule: non-coding RNA, 159 nt
Filed under: Nomascus leucogenys (northern white-cheeked gibbon)
Lineage: Eukaryota; Metazoa; Chordata; Mammalia; Primates; Hylobatidae
Source: Rfam by way of RNAcentral